Molecule: long non-coding RNA, 1449 nt
Filed under: Cucumis sativus (cucumber)
Lineage: Eukaryota; Viridiplantae; Streptophyta; Magnoliopsida; Cucurbitales; Cucurbitaceae
Description: long non-coding RNA (CSAT_LNC001427)
Source: RNAcentral
GAAAGCUUCCUUUAUCUUUCUCCCUUUGUUUUGCAGCCCUUAUUUCGUUCAUAAAUUUGUUUUAUUAUUGUUAUUAUUCUUUUUUGCUUUUUAAAUUCAUUUACCCGAAAACUAGCCAUUGUUAGGGUUAAUGUUGCCUGCGGGAAAUCAUAGUUUAGUUCUCAUAUAAAACAAAGAAAAAUCUCAUGAAUUGGAUUGAGCUAUAAUGAUUAACGAAGAUGAAGAUGUUUGUCUAAAAGAUGAAUCAAACGACUUAUUCUAAGUGAAAAUGAAAAGGGGUUUCUAUGGUAGCAUUUUUUUGGCUUCUAUUUCAUAGAUUGAAGGGAGGACCGUGAAGAAUGAAAUUGACAGAUUUAGUGCAAUCCAUUACUGCGCAGAUUUGUACUGCCGGUGGUCAUAUUCACUUGAACAUGAUGUUUGCCUUACUCAUCUGAGUCUAUUCCCAACACAAUAGUAGACUUGAAAGCUUAAUGUUUUAUAUGAAAAUUUUGGCUUUAGUUAUGGUAGGAUUAUGCUUUCGAUUUGUCCUGAAUCUGUUCAUGUAUUCCCCUUGACUUUAACGUGGGGAUUUGAAUGUUGGAUCAGGGAAUUAUGUUAAGACAUUAAAGUUUGGCUAGUGAGUUGACUAAAUUGUGAGUUUCGUGCUAUAUGAAUCCACUUAGCGUCAUUAAAAUCUAUAAUUAUUUCCAACAACUUUUACAUGGUUGAUUCUGGGUCAUAAGAUUAUGGACGAAUAGAAGAUGAUGACUGAAGCAGGUACUUAUGAUAAUCGGGCUUAUCUUACUGUUCUCAUGGUGCAGCUAAUUGUAGUAGUGUGCCGAGUUUCAAGGAUAUGUCUGUAUGAUUUACAAGACUGCCGUCUGAUUCAUUCUCUGUUCAUUAUGUUUAAUGGCCAAGAAAUAGAUAUACCCCUUUCUGUACAAGCCCUAUUGGUUAUAACUUUAAUGACCAAACUAUAAGUUGGGCCACCUGUUGAAUAUUAGUUGAUUUUAAGUUAAAUCGAGAUUUAUAUCUCUCAAGCUGAAUUUCCUGUUCAUCAACUGUUUUAAGUUAUGAGGUUGAACGAGCAGCAUUUUGAUGUCACAAGAAAAGGGAAAUAGGCUAGGUUUUGACAACAGGGAGAGAGAGAGUCGUGAAAUUUGGGAGCAAUUUCAAUUAGUCAUCUAGUUUUGUUUUUUUUCAUAUGAACUUUUGUGUCAUAUUAUAUAUUUUUUCUACAACCAUGCAGGUCAAAUUCAUUACAUUCAUAAUGGGGAGAAGACCUGCUAGGUGUUACAGGCAGAUUAAAAACAAGCCAUACCCGAAGUCACGAUUUUGUCGGGGUGUCCCUGAUCCUAAGAUCAGGAUCUAUGAUGUUGGAAUGAAGAGGAAAGGAGUUGAUGAAUUCCCAUUCUGUGUCCAUCUCGUGAGUUGGGAGAAAGAAAAUGUGUCCAGUGAGGCUUUGGAAGC